Molecule: long non-coding RNA, 543 nt
Filed under: Scophthalmus maximus (turbot)
Lineage: Eukaryota; Metazoa; Chordata; Actinopteri; Pleuronectiformes; Scophthalmidae
Description: lncRNA (ENSSMAG00000033826.1)
Source: RNAcentral
GAUCUUUCCCUGAUCGUAGAAGAUAAGACUGACGCAAGAUCUGGCUGAGAUUGUCUUGCUCGCAUGCUUUGGCCAGGAAGGAGCUUUCACAACUCAACCUGUGUGGCCACCCGACAAGCGAGUCCAAAGUUUUGCAGGAACUCUGCACAGCUAGUCCUCGGUUUUCCACGGGCUCGAGGAAAUGAGAAGGAAGGGAAGAGAGAGUACAGGUUUGAGGUGUUGGUGGACGUGCAGUGGACGGGAUCUCAGUCAGGCCCAACCCCCGCUCCUCCAAACAUGGUUACUUCUGGUUCCAAUGGGUGACUUCACGGUAAGCUUCCACUUGGUACCAACGUUUAGUCGACUAAUCACACAUUCCUAGUUACAGCCCCUAACUCACUAAUGAAUGGUUAGAUUUUUGGUUUAAUUCAUUGAACCUGUUUAGUUCUCCAGAGUGAAAUCCAGUUAAUCGUGGUGACAACGCAUAUAGUGACGCGUCAUGAUCUCUGAGCCAUGAUUGGGUCACUUCCAAGUCUGAGUAGUAAUGCUUGUGGUCUGAGUCGG